Molecule: long non-coding RNA, 1468 nt
Filed under: Triticum aestivum (bread wheat)
Lineage: Eukaryota; Viridiplantae; Streptophyta; Magnoliopsida; Poales; Poaceae
Description: long non-coding RNA (TAES_LNC003560)
Source: RNAcentral
UGAAAAUUAUAAUGGAACAUACAGAAAAUAAUUUGCCAUCGAAUGAUAAGUAAAAUAUGCAAUUCUUAUAUACAAAUUAUUUUCCUUGUUAUAUCUAAUAAAUUGUCAUUGACUAAAAAAAAUUUCCAUGGUAGCUACAAAAACUUCCAAGGUUUAAUUAAAAAAUUGCCAUGGUCUAAUAAGUGAAAUUUCAAUGGGACCUGGAAUAACAUUGCAGAUGGUUUACCUAAAAAAACUGGCCAAAUAUAAAGAAUUCCAAAAUUUUCAUGGACUAAUUAAUAAAAUUGCUAUGUUACAAUUUUUUUACAUGCUACUAAUUACAAGGCAAAAAGUUAUGAAGUAUGUUGUCGAAGAGACAUGGCAACUACUGGAAAUUUGUAUUCGGGGGGACGGGGGCAAAAAUACUUUUUUUUUCAAAUUUCUUCCUUGACAAAAAAUGGAAAUAUGUAGGAAUUCCAAAACGUUCCAUGGUCUAACUAAUAAAAAUGCCACGCUACAUAUGAUAAACUUGCCAUGGUCGUGAAUAGAUUAAAUUGCCAUGCUACAUAUGAUAAAACUACCAUGGUCUAAUAGAUAAAUUUGCCAUGGUAUGAGUAAUACAAAGCAAUCUGCCAUCUUAUAUACAAAUAUUUGUCACGGUUUAACUAAAUAAAUGGCCAUGGACUAACAAAAUUAGAUUGCCAUGGUAGCUACAAAAAUAAAACUACCAUGAUUUAUAAUUCAAAAAUUGCCAUGGAAUAAGUGAAAUUGCGAUGGAACCUAUAAUUAAAUUGCACAUGGUCUAAUUAAAGAAUAGCCAAAUAUAAAAAUUCAAAAUUUUACUAUGGACUAAUUAAUAAAAUUGCCAUGUUUUUUUGUCAUGCUACCAGUAACAAGGCAAAAACUUACGAAGUAUUUUCUCUAAGAGACAUGGAAACUGUUGGAAAAUUGUAAAUGGGGGCAAACAAAUUUUUAGAAAUCAUUUUGUUUGAGAAAGAUGGCAAAUAUAGGAAUUUCAAAAAUUUCCAUGGUCCAAUUAAUAAAAAUUUCAUGGUCCAAUAAAAACGUCAUGCUGCAUACGAUAAAAUUGUGAUGGUCCGAAUAGAUAAAUUUGCCAUGCUACAUAUGAUAAAACUACCAUGGUCCAUUGAAUAAAUUUGCCAUGGUACCUAUGAUAAAUUGCAUGGAAAAUUUAGGAAUUUCUUCUCUUAAAGACAUAUGGCAACGUUUGGCAAAAGUAUAAUGGGCACAAAUAUAGAAACAAGGAUUUGUUUCUUUGAGAAAAAGAUAGUUACUUUCUACGGGCACAUGCCAAUGAUUAGGGAUUUUGUUCUAUAAAAAAUAUGGCAAGCUUUUCAAAUUUGUAAAUGGAAACAUGGCAAAUAUAUUAGAUUUAUUUUUUGAUAAAAAGAUGGCAAAUGUAUCAAAAUUUAGAUGAUUUAAACUUUUUAAAAAUACGGUAAAUUAUGAACUAUAAAUUAGCAUGGGG